This 84-nucleotide transfer RNA is filed under the name Peniophora lycii. RNAcentral's name for it is "tRNA-Leu". It matches the Rfam family "tRNA". From Rfam's summary of the family: Transfer RNA (tRNA) molecules are approximately 80 nucleotides in length. Their secondary structure includes four short double-helical elements and three loops (D, anti-codon, and T loops). Further hydrogen bonds mediate the characteristic L-shaped molecular structure. tRNAs have two regions of fundamental functional importance: the anti-codon, which is responsible for specific mRNA codon recognition, and the 3' end, to which the tRNAs corresponding amino acid is attached (by aminoacyl-tRNA synthetases). tRNAs cope with the degeneracy of the genetic code in two manners: having more than one tRNA (with a specific anti-codon) for a particular amino acid; and 'wobble' base-pairing, i.e. permitting non-standard base-pairing at the 3rd anti-codon position. The record is from RNAcentral. Lineage: Eukaryota; Fungi; Basidiomycota; Agaricomycetes; Russulales; Peniophoraceae.
GCGAGUAUGCUGAAAUUGGUAGCCAGGUAAAUCUUAGGAAUUUAUAUGCUUUUGUGUAUAAGAGUUCAAGUCUCUUUGCUCGUA